GACGAACGCUGGCGGCGUGCUUAACACAUGCAAGUCGAACGGUAAGGCCCUUUCGGGGGGACACGAGGGGCGAACGGGUGGGGAACACGUGAGUAACCUGCCCACAACUCUGGGAUAAGGGUAGGAAAAUGGGGCAAAUACUGGGUAUGUACUACUGCUCCAUGGUGGGGGGUGGAGAGCUCCGGCGGCUGUGGGUGGGCUCGCGGCCUAUCAGCUUGUUGGUGGGGUAGUGGCCUACCAAGGCGGCGACGGGUAGCCGGCCUGAGAGGGUGACCGACCACAUUGGGACUGAGAUACGGCCCCGACUCCGACGCGUGGCAGCAGUGGGGAAUAUUGAUCAAUGGGCGCAAGCCUGAUGCAGCACCGCCGCGUGCGGGAUGGCGGUCUUCGGGUUGGAGACCGCUUUCAGCAGUGACCAAGCUUUUUGUGACGGUACCUGCAGAAGAAGCACCGGCUAACUCCGUG
Molecule: ribosomal RNA, 465 nt
Filed under: uncultured bacterium
Lineage: Bacteria
Description: partial 16S ribosomal RNA
Rfam family: Bacterial small subunit ribosomal RNA
Source: RNAcentral